Molecule: non-coding RNA, 2918 nt
Organism: Arachis ipaensis
Lineage: Eukaryota; Viridiplantae; Streptophyta; Magnoliopsida; Fabales; Fabaceae
Source: RefSeq, a predicted model, not a curated record
AGCGUGUCUCCUCAUUUCACAUGAUACCCAUCCGCGCCUCCACACCCCCUCUUUUCCAAAAGCUCCAUCGGCGGUGCCUCUCCGCCUUGCACCGUCGUUGCACUGAACUUCCGUCACACCGAAGCUCCAUCACACCCCCUCCCAGCUCUUCUUCGUGUGUUGCUCGCGUCGCUUCGUAUCGAACCCUAAUGUGUAGAAAUCGUAGAAAUCGGUCCGUUUCGAUCUCGCCUCAGCUGUGCAGCCUCUCCUCCUAUUUGCUAUUUUUCGUCGAGCUUUUUUGCAUCUCGUCUGAUUCACCGCCUCUCCUUGAACUUUGCAGCGCGCUACCGUCGUUCUAGUCUUGGAAUUAUUUGAGAUCCCACGUGGCCAAGGUCGUGGUGGCUGGUGAAUACAUUGAGUUAGGAGCAUAUAGAAUGAAUUCAGGAGAACUUGGCUUAAAUCUUUUCUAAAGUGAAGACGCUCCUACCAGAUUAAGUGAAGAGGGGAAGCAAGAUUAAACUCGACCUCUUAGUUAUGCAUGCUUUAACAUGAUGACAUGAAACUAUUUCUCCUACAAUUUUAACUUAUUUAAUUAAUAUGAAAAUGAAACACAAGCUAUUAUGAUCUGUUAUUGUUGGCUGCUUUUUGGGUUGCUAUCUUUGGCAUCCACCAUUAAUAGCAGUCUAUCUUGGUUGCUUCUAAUUUGUUGCAAUAACAGUUGAGAGUGAUUAUUAAAACUAAUUAUAGGUUUUAUAUAUAAGAAUUAAGAUAGAUUAUGCCCAUGGCUAACUUUGGGAUACUUUUGCAGGUUCUUGAAUUGAUGAAAAAAUGCCUUGAGUCGAUGCCCUGUUAUGGAAAGUUGGGAGAGAUCAUACACAAUGUGUUAUUCUCUGAUUCUUCCAUCCAUAACACACUCUUCCAAAUUUCUUGUACUACUGCCCAAGUCUUGGAGAAACUGCAUGUAAGCCGCCUCUUUGAUUCAAUGAUAAUUAAGGGGAUACAACUUGCUAUAGGAUCUGUCUUAGAAAUUCUUGUGGUUAUGCUGACUAGACUGUCAAAGGAUAACUCUUCCAGCUUCCCCAUUUUUCUCCAAGCAGUGUUCUCAUGUACAACCAAAUCAGUUCCUCUUAUCACUUGUGUUACUUCUUUGAUUUCAUACUUUUGGAACCCUGUAAGAAUACUAGCCAUGCUGGAAAUUUAGUGCUCUUACAUUGAUUUUUUUAUUUUUAUUUUUAUUUAAAUGCCUUGUGCUUUUGCUGAACUAAUCACUAGGAAUGUGACAAUGAGUUUUACUUUUUAUUUAACAAUAACUAAUCUGCUUAUUUCUGCUCUCUUUUUGUUCCAUCAAUUAGAGAUCUUUUAGAAACUUGUGUUUUGUUAUUCUGUUACUGUUAUGUAUUGAUUGCAUUUGCUGAACAAUGAACUGAUAUUGAUUACAUUCCUAAUUUCCUAUAUUGUUUUGCAUGCCUGCUCAUCCAUUUGCUUCUAAUAUAGUUCAUCAUUUCAUUUUAUUAAAGGCUGAUAUCUUUCUAGGCCAUCCAGUUGGGUGCUGUCAAGUUCAUUUCAAUGUUAUUUGUCACAGCAGAUUGUUGUCAACCAUUUUUGUAUGGAACCACGUUUUUUGCCCCUGAUAAUGAGGAGGUUUGGCAUUGUAAUUUCAUCUUACAACUUUAUUUUCUUUUUUUCUUCUGAAACUUUCUGCAACUUGUGUUAUUUUGUCCUAAGUGAUAAUAUUCUAACUGGUUUUAGAUCAUGGAUUUUAGGCGUUUUGCAAGCUACAUACUACAGAAGAAACUGGUAUCAAAUGAAGAGCUUUUUGUUGUAACACUUAAUUUAUUCACUUCUGUAGCACGUUACCAGGUUUAUAUCAUAUGUUGUAAAUUUUCUGCUGUUGACACUGUCAUCCCCCACCCCUUCUUAAAUGCAUUUCAAAAUGAAUGCUACAACUUUUUGCAUAACUUCUUUCAUGAGUAGAUGUGUCUACUGUUUGUUGAGUUUUCAUGAGGAUAUUGCAUCAUGACAGUUCAACGGCUAAUUUUCUAGUUUUUCUCAGGGCUCUGUUCCAUCAUUAUUGGGUUAGGGGUGGUGAAAAUCCCUUGUUCAAGCAUCAUAUUUUGAAUUGAUGUUCCUUGUUGCAGUCUACUUUUGUUGUUGCUAUCUUUGCUCCAGAUGCCGGCAAUGAAGACCAACAUAAUACUGGGGAUCCAAAGUCGCAUGAAGGUGUAUAUAUAAUUUUAUUAUGCAACUGGAUGUAAAUUUUCAGGUGGCCACCAAUUCAUUGCUUACAGGAAGCCCAUGACAAGUCAAGAUCUGUGACUAAGGCUCCUGCCAUGAAGGAUAGAAGCCGAAGCAUCUUCUGUUCAGAAAAAUCUAGUGAUAGGAAGAAAAGAGAAACCGAUUUCAAUGAAUGCUUUUCAACUCAUUUCAAGAUCACAAAGCUUUAACCUUGACAGCUUCUUUGAGCAGCAAAUAGUAAGUAAAAUAUGAUAUUUGAUCUUAAUUUGAUCAUAUUAACAAAUUUAUUUAUAACUUGCAUGAAAACUCACUUUAAGAGAUUAUCUCUGGAAAAUAGCCAAAUAGGUUAACUAGCAUUUCAGCAUUGAGGUUAUUUUUUGUUUCAUUCUUGUCAUCCAGGUUUUCUAUUCUUAAUUAGAGUAACUGCUGUAACAUUCUGUGUCACUCUGGCCGCCUCACUAGCUGCACGCUAGGUAUCAACCCAUUAAUGCUUUGGCAUUUGUAUUUGAUAGUAUCAACUUUGGUGCAUCUGACUUUGCAAAUUCAACAUUCUCUUUUGCAUUUAUAAUAACAUGAUAUGUAUAUAAAGUUAGAUGGAUCUUAUCCAUUUAUGUUAAUCAGGAGCAUUGGAAGUCAGAGGGUGUGAUAAACCACUAUUUUACGGUUUAUUUUGUAUUAAAUUGAGUGGAUUUUAUCAACUAUUC